This 502-nucleotide ribosomal RNA is filed under the name Escherichia coli. RNAcentral describes it as "partial 23S ribosomal RNA". It matches the Rfam family "Bacterial large subunit ribosomal RNA", at positions 2300 to 2801 of the family's 2925-position model. The record is from RNAcentral. Lineage: Bacteria; Pseudomonadati; Pseudomonadota; Gammaproteobacteria; Enterobacterales; Enterobacteriaceae.
ACGGAGGAGCACGAAGGUUGGCUAAUCCUGGUCGGACAUCAGGAGGUUAGUGCAAUGGCAUAAGCCAGCUUGACUGCGAGCGUGACGGCGCGAGCAGGUGCGAAAGCAGGUCAUAGUGAUCCGGUGGUUCUGAAUGGAAGGGCCAUCGCUCAACGGAUAAAAGGUACUCCGGGGAUAACAGGCUGAUACCGCCCAAGAGUUCAUAUCGACGGCGGUGUUUGGCACCUCGAUGUCGGCUCAUCACAUCCUGGGGCUGAAGUAGGUCCCAAGGGUAUGGCUGUUCGCCAUUUAAAGUGGUACGCGAGCUGGGUUUAGAACGUCGUGAGACAGUUCGGUCCCUAUCUGCCGUGGGCGCUGGAGAACUGAGGGGGGCUGCUCCUAGUACGAGAGGACCGGAGUGGACGCAUCACUGGUGUUCGGGUUGUCAUGCCAAUGGCACUGCCCGGUAGCUAAAUGCGGAAGAGAUAAGUGCUGAAAGCAUCUAAGCACGAAACUUGCCCCG